This 253-nucleotide ribosomal RNA is filed under the name uncultured bacterium. Its description in RNAcentral is "partial 16S ribosomal RNA". It matches the Rfam family "Bacterial small subunit ribosomal RNA", at positions 524 to 776 of the family's 1533-position model. The record is from RNAcentral.
UACAGAGGAGGCAAGCGUUGUUCGGAAUCACUGGGCUUAAAGCGCGUGUAGGCGGCUUGGUAAGUAUUCUGUGAAAUCCCACGGCUCACCCGUGGAACUGCAGGGUAUACUGCCUGGCUUGAGGCAGGUAGGGGCCACUGGAACUCUAGGUGGAACGGUGAAAUGUGUAGAUAUCUAGAGGAACGCCCGCGGCGAAAGCGGGUGGCUGGGCCUGUCCUGACGCUGAGACGCGAAAGCGUGGGGAGCAAACGGG